This 495-nucleotide ribosomal RNA is filed under the name uncultured Entrophospora. RNAcentral describes it as "SSU rRNA". It matches the Rfam family "Eukaryotic small subunit ribosomal RNA", at positions 569 to 1059 of the family's 1831-position model. The record is from RNAcentral. Lineage: Eukaryota; Fungi; Glomeromycota; Glomeromycetes; Entrophosporales; Entrophosporaceae.
AGCAGCCGCGGUAAUUCCAGCUCCAAUAGCGUAUAUUAAAGUUGUUGCAGUUAAAAAGCUCGUAGUUGAAUUUCGGGAUUGACACAUCGGUCGUGCCUUAAGGGGUAUGAACUGGUGUAGUCAAUUUCUCACCUUCUGGAGAACCGCGAUGUCCUUAAUUGGGUGCCGCGAGGAACCAGGACCUUUACUUUGAAAAAUUAGAGUGUUUAAAGCAGGCAUUUUUGCUUGAAUACAUUAGCAUGGAAUAGUAAAAUAGGACGGCAUGAUUCUAUUUUGUUGGUUUCUAGGAUCACCGUAAUGAUUAAUAGGGAUAGUUGGGGGCAUUAGUAUUCAAUUGUCAGAGGUGAAAUUCUUGGAUUUUAUUGAAGACUAACUACUGCGAAAGCAUUUGCCAAGGAUGUUUUCUAUUAAUCAAGAACGAAAGUUAGGGGAUCGAAGACGAUCAGAUACCGUCGUAGUCUUAACCAUAAACUAAUGCCGACUAGGGAUCGGAUG